CCAAAGUGCAUCACGCACACGGCACACCAAAUACUGGUGGUAGGUGGGCAUUUGAUAUCAUCUCUGCCAGUCAGGAUUGGGGAAAUUAAAGCUGCGGGUAGUCACCUCGUCGGCUACCAAAAUGGCAGCGCUCAACAGCUGUAGCAUCUUCAUCGCGAAAUCAGAUUUUCCGGCGGCCUUCCCAUCGUCAUCAUGGGGAAUGAGUAGAGGCAGCAUUGACUUCGAGUCGAGAGGAUUGCGUGCAGGGAAUAUGAAGAUGGACGCUGGGCGAUCAAAGUUGCGGCUUGUAUGUGUGGUUGGUGGCAGCAAUACGACUGGUAACAGCAAUAGUAGCAGCAGCAGCAGCGAUGGCAGUAAGAAGAAAGCCG
Molecule: unclassified non-coding RNA, 368 nt
Filed under: Hevea brasiliensis (rubber tree)
Lineage: Eukaryota; Viridiplantae; Streptophyta; Magnoliopsida; Malpighiales; Euphorbiaceae
Source: RNAcentral